GAAAAUAAUGUUGUUAUUGCUUUGCUCUCUCCUCUCUCAGGGUGCCCUUGCUGUUUUCAGUUGCUCAAGUUCCUGCUCAUCCAAUUUCAUUGCCUUGCUACAUAUUUGUUCUUGUGGACUAUUGGAGGACCAUUCAACAUUUUCUCAACCUGCUGCCCUGUCCCCCAGGGAUGUUCCAGGGAUGUGCAUUUCAUUGGUGUGGACUUCACAGGCAUUCUUCAAAUUUGUAAUUUUUGGAGUGAAGGAUUGCCUUCCCAUGAUGUGGAGUUCACGUGUGUUCUUUUUGUUUCAUUGUGAGUUUACUAAAUAGCUCUUAUUUUAAUUAUAGAAUAGACAGUAUCAGAUGAAUCUAUCAUAUCUGACUGCUCCUUUCUGUCUCCCUCAGAGCACCAAGGUCCAUGCAGCCUUUUGUCUCAGCAUAUGUAAGUACAAAAUUAGCUAUUAUCUCUCUGUUCACCUAAAGAUUAUUUAAACUAUACCUUAACUGAUCCCUGCUCUUUCUUUCCUUUGUCUGCCUCUCUCUCUCUCUCUCUCUCUCUCUCUCUCUCUCUCUCUCUCUCUCUCUCUCUCUCUCUCUCUCUCUCUCUCUCUCUCUCUCUCUCUCUCUCUCUCUCUCUCUCUCUCUCUCUCUCUCUCUCUCUCUCUCUCUCUCUCUCUCAUACUUUAGGGUGCCACUUUUACUUACUGUGUUAUAAUUUGGUGUGUUCUAGUUAGUGUAAAUAAGAUAAUACAUAUAUUGUGUAUACUUCCUGUUGUUGUUGUUGUUCUCUGUUCUAGCAUUUUCUGCUGACUGUGAGACGGUUCAAACUGUACAUAUUAUAAGCAUUAGUCAUUUCAGAGGAGAUUUGACCUAGCUGCAAAACCUCCAUUGUGCCCAAAUACAAAUGCAGAACCCUCUCUUCUUCAAAGUCCUGUAAUCUGCCUUGUUUUUUUGAGUGUAAACGUUUUGUAAGCGUCUAAUCACGAGGAUCUAAUAGUUUUUUUAAUCUCCACUCCUGUUUUUACAUGUGGCCAUUGAAAGAACAAAAGGUUAUUUUGGGC
Molecule: long non-coding RNA, 1041 nt
Filed under: Gadus morhua (Atlantic cod)
Lineage: Eukaryota; Metazoa; Chordata; Actinopteri; Gadiformes; Gadidae
Description: lncRNA (ENSGMOG00000023782.1)
Source: RNAcentral